UACGUAGGGUGCGAGCGUUAAUCGGAAUUACUGGGCGUAAAGUGUGCGCAGGCGGCGCCGCAAGUCGAGUGUGAAAGCCCCGAGCUUAACUUGGGAAUUGCGCUCGAAACUAUGGUGCUGGAGUGUGGCAGAGGAAGGUGGAAUUCCACGUGUAGCGGUGAAAUGCGUAGAUAUUCGCAAGAACACCAGUGGCGAAGGCGGCUCACUGGCCCGGUACUGACGCUGAGGUGCGAAAGCGUGGGGAGCAAACAGG
RNAcentral lists this ribosomal RNA (253 nucleotides) under uncultured bacterium. Its description in RNAcentral is "partial 16S ribosomal RNA". It matches the Rfam family "Bacterial small subunit ribosomal RNA", at positions 524 to 776 of the family's 1533-position model. The record is from RNAcentral.